Molecule: ribosomal RNA, 253 nt
Filed under: uncultured bacterium
Lineage: Bacteria
Description: partial 16S ribosomal RNA
Rfam family: Bacterial small subunit ribosomal RNA
Source: RNAcentral
UACGGAGGGCGCAAGCGUUGUUCGGAAUCAUUGGGCGUAAAGCGCGUGUAGGCGGCUUGGCAAGUCGGAUGUGAAAUCCCGGGGCUCAACCCCGGAACUGCAUUCGAAACUGCCUCGCUAGAGUCCCGGAGGGGAGGGCGGAAUUCCCGGUGUAGAGGUGAAAUUCGUAGAUAUCGGGAGGAACACCAGUGGCGAAGGCGGCCCUCUGGACGGUGACUGACGCUGAGAUGCGAAAGCGUGGGGAGCAAACAGG